Molecule: long non-coding RNA, 1274 nt
Filed under: Canis lupus familiaris (dog)
Lineage: Eukaryota; Metazoa; Chordata; Mammalia; Carnivora; Canidae
Description: lncRNA (ENSCAFG00845024047.1)
Source: RNAcentral
AUGACCCUGAUAUCACAGUUGCCUCCAUCAGAAGAGACCCUAACCCUAGGGCUGUUGGAACAAGAGGAUCAAGGGAACACAUUUCAGAUUCCUGUCUCCUAUGUUCUCUGGAGGCCCAGGAGGACAUCUCAUCGAGUUGUCUCAUCAGCUGGACUCUCAUGGCUCUGGACCCAGAGUUUUAAAGACCAGGAUAUAGAGCAUAUCUCCCUGAGACUUACUUCAGUUAAACAGGAAAAUCCUCAGGGAGCUGCAGCCCUGGGAAAUAAUUGAUGUUAUGACUCAGAAUUUAUCAUAGAUCUAUAAUUUUUGAACAGUAGGAAAGUUCUUUUCAGGUUGUAUUCAGCCUUAAAAGUUGCUCUUUGCUGGCCAGUGAAGGAGGAGGUUUCAAAACCUUUCACAGACUGCAAAGUUCAGAGAGAGUUGAAGUUCAGAGAGAUUGAGAAUUUUUUUUGCAAUUAAUAUAAAAAUUUCAGAGAUUAAGGAAAUGACCAAUUUGCAACAGAUUGAUAUCUGAGUGAAAAUACAAGAGGACUGGCAAAAGAUAGAAAAUCAGCAUGGCAAUCUCCAAGAAAGAACACGGACAGAGAUAUUUUACUGUUUCUUAGGAGGAAGGGAUUGGAUUUAACAUCAAAAUCACACCGUGUAUUUUAUGUUGAAAGGUCCAGAACUGGAUCCCCGGUAGGAGCUUAUGUUCUAGAUAAACUGAAACUUUUGGAAUGCCUAGUGGACCACGGGCAAACUUCAAGCUGUCAUUCACAUGGAAGAUCAAGGACCCUCAUGGCAUGGAAAGUUGUUUUCAGGAGGACCACUAGACCCUGGAUCUGAAAAUCCCUAAAUCAGAGGAAAACAAAACACACUCUUAGCACCCUCCUCCUAUGUGGCCCAGGCAUCAUACAAGAUGGGGCAAAAUUCCCAAGCAAUACAGAAACGUUGAGGUCAGAGCUCACUCAGGCAUAAAAAUUCAAUGGCUAAUGCCAGAUGGGCUGCCAAACCGGUCCUGGCUGGACCAGUUCCAUCCAUAGGGAGGGAAAGCUGUGAGACAAAGAGCAAAUGAUAAUAACAAUAAUAAUAAGGAAACACAGGAACAAACGAAAAAAAGUCUAACGGCCUAAGAUAGCACAGUUGUGAAGACUUCAAGAAUACUUUGGAGGAGGGGUACCUGGCUGGCUUGGUCGGAAGAGCAUGUGACUCUUGAUCUUGGGGUGGUGAGUUUGAGCUCCACGUUGGAUGUAGAGAUUACUUAAUAAAUAAAUAAAUAUAUAUAUAUAUAUAUA